CGUUAAAUUGUUGAAAGGGAAGCGCUUGCAAUCAGACUUUCACUUGGUGUUCAUCAGGGUCUCGUUCCCUGUGUACUUCAUCAAGUUCAGGCCAGCAUCAGUUUGAGUGGUUAGAUAAAGGCUUAGAGAAUGUGGCCCUCUUCGGGGGGUGUUAUAGCUCUAGGUGCAAUGUAGCCUACUUGGACUGAGGACCGCGCUUCGGCUAGGAUGCUGGCGUAAUGGUUGUAAGCGACCCGUCUUGAAACACGG
Molecule: ribosomal RNA, 249 nt
Filed under: Botrytis cinerea
Lineage: Eukaryota; Fungi; Ascomycota; Leotiomycetes; Helotiales; Sclerotiniaceae
Description: partial large subunit ribosomal RNA
Rfam family: Eukaryotic large subunit ribosomal RNA
Source: RNAcentral